GGGUCCGGACACACUGAGGAUUGACAGAUAUAUAUACACCGUCGGUACUUGUAUCGCGGUGUUGAAAGAUGCUAGUUCUUUCAUGAUUAUGUGAUAGGUGGUGCAUGGCCGUUCUUAGUUCGUGGAGUGAUCUGUCAGCUUAAUUGCGUAUCAUAAAAAGAGACCUAGUAUACGCGUAAGAUAUCGUUUACGGCUCGUGACCCCCUUCGGGCGUGUGUCGCACGUACGUAUCAUACGCACUGGUCUCCGAUAGCAACGAACGUGACCGUACUCUAUUGUUGCAGCGAAUGUAUGCAUCUUCGGGUGUAUCUACCGCUGCUUAGCAUAUUUCAUGCCUCGUGCGUGUGUAUGCAUUAAACUAUAGAGACCGCUGUAUUUUUUUUAAACCAGAGGAAGGAUACGGCAAUAACAGGUCUGUGAUGCCCUCAGAUGUUCCGGGCUGCACACGUGCUACAAUGAUCAUUGCACUGUGCAUCUAACCCAAUGUGCGUGGACGCCACGGUAUGUAUUUAUGCUUCGGCGUAGUAUAUAUCAGUUGGUCGGCCGCGCCGAACCUACUUCGAAAGUAAAAUUUCUCAGUGGGU
RNAcentral lists this ribosomal RNA (584 nucleotides) under Ammonia sp. genotype T1. RNAcentral describes it as "bacterial SSU rRNA". The stretch from base 1 to 454 matches the Rfam family "Eukaryotic small subunit ribosomal RNA", at positions 1220 to 1501 of the family's 1831-position model. Lineage: Eukaryota; Foraminifera; Rotaliida; Rotaliidae. The record is from RNAcentral.